RNAcentral lists this transfer RNA (440 nucleotides) under Carnobacterium divergens. RNAcentral describes it as "large 16S-23S ribosomal RNA intergenic spacer". The stretch from base 106 to 179 matches the Rfam family "tRNA". Lineage: Bacteria; Bacillati; Bacillota; Bacilli; Lactobacillales; Carnobacteriaceae. The record is from RNAcentral.
CUAAGGAAUAUUACGGAAACCCCACACAUUCGUCAUUACUUUGUUCAGUUUUGAGAGGUCUAAUCUUCUCAAUUAAAUACUUUUUAGAGCUCUUAUUUUUAUGUUGGGCCUAUAGCUCAGCUGGUUAGAGCGCACGCCUGAUAAGCGUGAGGUUGAUGGUUCGAGUCCAUUUAGGCCCAUUCUAAAAAAAUAGUACUCUUGAAGGGGCCUUAGCUCAGCUGGGAGAGCGCCUGCCUUGCACGCAGGAGGUCAGCGGUUCGAUCCCGCUAGGCUCCAUUGUAACUUAGGUUGCAAAAUUAAUUUGUUCUUUGAAAACUGGAUAUUGUAAGAAAGCAAUUUAUGAAAAAAGAAACAAUGUAUACACCGCGUUUUAAAUGAGUUUUUUAACGUUCUUAUCGUAAGAUAAAACGUAUUAACGACAAUUUUGAGUAAUCAAAAUA